GAAAAGCCUCUAGCUAGAAUAACGGUGCCCGUACCGCAAACCGACACAGGUAGUCAAGAUGAGAAUUCUAAGGUGAGCGAGCGAACUCUCGUUAAGGAACUCGGCAAAAUGACCCCGUAACUUCGGGAGAAGGGGUGCUCUUUGAGGUUCACGCUUCGAAGAGCCGCAGUGAAUAGGCCCAAGCGACUGUUUAUCAAAAACACAGGUCUCUGCUAAACCGUAAGGUGACGUAUAGGGGCUGACGCCUGCCCGGUGCUGGAAGGUUAAGAGGAGUGGUUAGCGCAAGCGAAGCUACGAAUCGAAGCCCCAGUAAACGGCGGCCGUAACUAUAACGGUCCUAAGGUAGCGAAAUUCCUUGUCGGGUAAGUUCCGACCCGCACGAAAGGCGUAACGAUUUGGGCACUGUCUCAACGAGAGACUCGGUGAAAUCAUAGUACCGGUGAAGAUGCCGGUUACCCGCGACAGGACGGAAAGACCCCGUGGAGCUUUACUGUAGCCUGAUAUUGAAAUUCGGUACAGUUUGUACAGGAUAGGUAGGAGCCUUAGAAGCGUGAGCGCUAGCUUACGUGGAGGCAUUGGUGGGAUACUACCCUAAUUGUAUUGGAUUUCUAACCCGCAGCACUUAUCGUGCUGGGAGACAGUGUCAGGCGGGCAGUUUGACUGGGGCGGUCGCCUCCUAAAGAGUAACGGAGGCGCUCAAAGGUUCCCUCAGAAUGGUUGGAAAUCAUUCAUAGAGUGUAAAGGCAUAAGGGAGCUUGACUGCGAGACCUACAAGUCGAGCAGGGUCGAAAGACGGACUUAGUGAUCCGGUGGUUCCGCAUGGAAGGGCCAUCGCUCAACGGAUAAAAGCUACCCCGGGGAUAACAGGCUUAUCUCCCCCAAGAGUUCACAUCGACGGGGAGGUUUGGCACCUCGAUGUCGGCUCAUCGCAUCCUGGGGCUGUAGUCGGUCCCAAGGGUUGGGCUGUUCGCCCAUUAAAGCGGUACGCGAGCUGGGUUCAGAACGUCGUGAGACAGUUCGGUCCCUAUCCGUCGUGGGCGUAGGAAAUUUGAGAGGAGCUGUCCUUAGUACGAGAGGACCGGGAUGGACAUACCUCUGGUGUACCAGUUGUCGUGCCAACGGCAUAGCUGGGUAGCUAUGUAUGGACGGGAUAAGUGCUGAAAGCAUCUAAGCAUGAAGCCCCCCUCGAGAUGAGAUUUCCCAACUUCGGUUAUAAG
This 1217-nucleotide ribosomal RNA is filed under the name Staphylococcus pseudintermedius. Its description in RNAcentral is "partial 23S ribosomal RNA". It matches the Rfam family "Bacterial large subunit ribosomal RNA", at positions 1612 to 2832 of the family's 2925-position model. Lineage: Bacteria; Bacillati; Bacillota; Bacilli; Caryophanales; Staphylococcaceae. The record is from RNAcentral.